This 489-nucleotide ribosomal RNA is filed under the name uncultured Glomeromycotina. RNAcentral's name for it is "SSU rRNA". It matches the Rfam family "Eukaryotic small subunit ribosomal RNA", at positions 569 to 1063 of the family's 1831-position model. Lineage: Eukaryota; Fungi; Glomeromycota. The record is from RNAcentral.
AGCAGCCGCGGUAAUUCCAGCUCCAAUAGCGUAUAUUAAAGUUGUUGCAGUUAAAAAGCUCGUAGUUGAAUUUCGGGAUCAAUACGUUGGUCGUGCCUUGGUACGUACUGGCGUCAUUGGUUUCUACCUUCUGAAGAACCUCGAUGUCAUUAAUUUGGUGUCUUGGGGAAUCAGGACUGUUACUUUGAAAAAAUUAGAGUGUUUAAAGCAGGCUCACGCUUGAAUACAUUAGCAUGGAAUAAUGAAAUAGGACGUUUGAUUCUAUUUUGUUGGUUUCUAGGAUCGACGUAAUGAUUAAUAGGGAUAGUUGGGGGCAUUAGUAUUCAAUUGUCAGAGGUGAAAUUCUUGGAUUUAUUGAAGACUAACUACUGCGAAAGCAUUUGCCAAGGAUGUUUUCAUUAAUCAAGAACGAAAGUUAGGGGAUCGAAGACGAUCAGAUACCGUCGUAGUCUUAACCAUAAACUAUGCCGACUAGGGAUCGGAUGAUGU